This 253-nucleotide ribosomal RNA is filed under the name uncultured bacterium. RNAcentral describes it as "partial 16S ribosomal RNA". It matches the Rfam family "Bacterial small subunit ribosomal RNA", at positions 524 to 776 of the family's 1533-position model. The record is from RNAcentral.
UACGGGUGCCUCAAGCGUUAUCCGGAAUUAUUGGGCGUAAAGGGUGUGUAGGCGGCUUUGUUAGUCUUUUGUUAAACCUUCGGGCUCAACCCGAAAUCUGCAAAAGAAACGGCAUGGCUCGAGUGCGCGAGAGGUUUGCGGAACUCAUGGUGUAGGGGUGAAAUCCGUUGAUAUCAUGGGGAACACCAAAUGCGAAGGCAGCAAACUGGCGCGUCACUGACGCUGAAACACGAAAGCGUGGGUAGCGAAUGGG